CAGCAGUCGCCGCGGUAAUACGUAGGUGGCAAGCGUUGUCCGGAAUUAUUGGGCGUAAAGGGCUCGCAGGCGGUUUCUUAAGUCUGAUGUGAAAGCCCCCGGCUCAACCGGGGAGGGUCAUUGGAAACUGGGAAACUUGAGUGCAGAAGAGGAGAGUGGAAUUCCACGUGUAGCGGUGAAAUGCGUAGAGAUGUGGAGGAACACCAGUGGCGAAGGCGACUCUCUGGUCCGUAACUGACGCUGAGGAGCGAAAGCGUGGGGAGCGAACAGGAUUAGAUACCCCUGUAGUCCCUGUCUCUUAUAC
Molecule: ribosomal RNA, 304 nt
Filed under: uncultured bacterium
Lineage: Bacteria
Description: partial 16S ribosomal RNA
Rfam family: Bacterial small subunit ribosomal RNA
Source: RNAcentral